This is a long non-coding RNA of Gallus gallus (chicken), 2170 nucleotides long. The record is from Ensembl. Lineage: Eukaryota; Metazoa; Chordata; Aves; Galliformes; Phasianidae.
CGUCCACCUCCUUAAAUCUGGAGGUAAAUGCUUAACACAGAGCACAGCGCGAUUGCAAACGUUUGUUCAAAAUAUUUUAAUAAAGAUUCUUUCCGACAUAGAUACACAUACAAACGAUCGUACAUUGCUGUCAUAAUCUGAUUGACCUAUUUAAUAUAUAUCACUCUUUACACAUCCGUGACCUGCCAACAGAUCCAUCACGGCUCCCACUGCGCCAUCCAACCUGACAGUCCGAAUUUAUAUUAUCUGCGAGGAGUGGGAAAUAGCACGACUCGGGGUCGGGGAGGGAAGGAAAGAAAAGAAUCAUUACAAAAUCCGGCUUUACAACUGGCAGAGAGGCAGCACCCAGCCAUGCAAACUCAAGCGGAAGGCUCACUUUGGGGAAAUAGCUCCUUCUUGCUCUUCAUCUCCCCCCCCCCCCCCUCCACCCCCCCCCCCAAAAAAAAACCCCCACCCCACCUUCCCUCCCCACCCCCCCGAAAAAGAAAAGAACUCCACGCCGUCGGCAAACGAGCCCGAAGUAUUUUCGAGUGUUUCAACUUCAAGUAUAUCAUCCGCGGUCGGAAGGAAUGAUUUACGUACGCGUUCGAAGCGCCCCAAAAGACACCUCUGAAAGCACAGCGCCCUGCGAAGCGUUGGCGAUAUUCGCGUUAGCAGCUUUUGCUCUGCGCCCGGGUGAAGGGAACGGCCACCACCUGCCCUAACGCGAAGCCCUUUCCCAACUCAGUGGCCGAGCCACGAAGAAUACACCUUUCCUGUCUUUUUUUUUUUUUUUUUUCUUUUUUUUUUUUUUGGACUGAAGCGAUUUAUUAAAGCUCAAUUGAAAUACAAAGGGAUGAUGCAACUCAAAAAAAUCCAAGAUGACCUUUCAGAAACCUCAGCAGCUCGGGUACAGCGACAGUUCCGGUUAGACGGUGUUGGCAAAUAAACGGCUUUCAACACUUGGCACACAGUUUCAAGUUCAUCCAUAAACAGAAUUUUUAGAAGCAUUAGAAAGUAAACCGCACAGAAGGGCCCCUGACCUUAAAACACAUGAGAACUACCGGCGGGGCGGGAGGGUCACCCAAAGAAGAACAAAUAAAUACGUCCCGUCUGUACAGCGCUGCGGGUGGGGAGGACGAGGUGCGCGCAGAUCCCUCGUUCACAAACGCGGUGCUUUCAGCCGCACACGGAGGAGGGGUUCGGAUCGGGGAUUUUCUUUUUUUUUUCUUUUUUUUUCCCUUUUUAAAAAAUCUUCCUCUCUAUUUCUUUUCCUUUUCCUUUUCCCUUUCUUUUUUUUCCUUUUUCUUUUCUUUUUUUUUUUUUUUUAAACCACUCUCACCAAAACUUUGCGCAUUCGCACGGGAUCAAAGUUUCGAGACGCUAAAAAACACAGAGUCUUCCGUAAGCAAUGCUCCAGUCUCUUUGUUUCUGCGAGUCGCUUAAAUAAGAAGUUUACAUUUCAAGUUGGUUUGUUUCCUGGCUCAGAAUAAUUAUAAUAAUGCUGCUAAUAAUUAAAAACAAACAAACAAACAAACCAAAAACCAAACCAAAACCAACCUACGUUCUCGUGCCCUCUCUGAUUCGUCCCAUCCACCUCCGCUCCCCGUCACCGGGACCGCUCGGUGCUGGGCGGCGGCGGCGGGGCUCGGCGCGGCUUAAGGCUUCUCCGUGCACUGUUUGCAGAGACUGGAGGAGACGCUGUUGAAGAUGGCACAUUUCUCCGGGCAGGAGGUGGCGGGAGGCAGCCCGGCGCUGAACGGGUACCCCGCCGCCUGCUCGUAGGCGCCGAGGGCGGGGUGCAGCGCGGCCGCCGCCGCCGCCGCCGCCGCGGCGGAGCUGGGCAGGGAGGCGGCCGAGAUGGCCUGGCCCUGGUUGAGAUAAGCCACGAGGCGCCGCAUCUCCUCCAGGGCCUGCGCCUGCAUGAGGAUGUAGUUCUUGGCCAGCAGCAGCGUGGCGAUCUUGGAGAGCUUCCGCACCGAGGGGCUGUGCGCGUAGGGGAUGACGGCCCGCAGCUCGUCCAGCGCGUCGUUCAGGUCGUGCAUCCGCCGCCGCUCCCGCGCGUUGAUGUUGAGGCGCAGCGCCUUCUGCUCCUUGGACUUCUUGCUGCCGCCGUGCCCGUGCCCGUUGGAGCAGCCGCCCUCGGCAGCCUUCAGCCCCCCGCCCCCCCCCUCCUCCCGGGCCGCCGCCG